UAUGACCGCUGGCGGCAGGCCUAACACAUGCAAGUCGAGCGGAUGAAGGGAGCUUGCUCCUGGAUUCAGCGGCGGACGGGUGAGUAAUNGCCUAGGAAUCUGCCUGGUNAGUGGGGGAUAACGUUCCGAAAGGAACGCUAAUACCGCAUACGUCCUACGGGAGAAAGCAGGGGACCUUCNGGGCCUUGCGCUAUCAGAUGAGCCUAGGUCGGAUNNUAGCUAGUUGNGUGAGGUAAUGGCUCACCAAGGCGACGAUCCGUAACUGGUCUGAGAGGAUGAUCAGUCACACUGGAACUGAGACACNGGUCCAGACUCCUACGGGAGGCAGCAGUGGGGAAUAUUGGACAAUGGGCGAAA
RNAcentral lists this ribosomal RNA (357 nucleotides) under Ectopseudomonas oleovorans. RNAcentral describes it as "bacterial SSU rRNA". It matches the Rfam family "Bacterial small subunit ribosomal RNA", at positions 29 to 380 of the family's 1533-position model. The record is from RNAcentral. Lineage: Bacteria; Pseudomonadati; Pseudomonadota; Gammaproteobacteria; Pseudomonadales; Pseudomonadaceae.